AUACGUAGGUGGCAAGCGUUAUCCGGAUUUACUGGGUGUAAAGGGCGUGUAGGCGGGACUGCAAGUCAGAUGUGAAAACUAUGGGCUCAACCCAUAGCCUGCAUUUGAAACUGUAGUUCUUGAGUGUCGGAGAGGCAAUCGGAAUUCCGUGUGUAGCGGUGAAAUGCGUAGAUAUACGGAGGAACACCAGUGGCGAAGGCGGAUUGCUGGACGAUAACUGACGCUGAGGCGCGAAAGCGUGGGGAGCAAACAGGAUGAGAUACCCUGGUAGUCCACGCCGUAAACGAUGGAUACUAGGUGUGGGGAGUCUGACCCCCUCCGUGCCGCAGCUAACGCAAUAAGUAUCCCACCUGGGGAGUACGAUCGCAAGGUUGAAACUCAAAUGAAUUGACGGGG
RNAcentral lists this ribosomal RNA (396 nucleotides) under uncultured bacterium. RNAcentral describes it as "partial 16S ribosomal RNA". It matches the Rfam family "Bacterial small subunit ribosomal RNA", at positions 523 to 918 of the family's 1533-position model. The record is from RNAcentral.